CCGGGCAGCCACGGGGGUCUGAGCUAAGUGAGCGCCGAGAAGCACCUGGGGAGUCUCCGGCCACCUUUCCUUCGUCAGGAAUCUCAUCUUUAACAAGCUCCAGGGUGACUGACACCGAGGUUUAGGGGUCUCACUUUGAGAACCAUGGCCCAUGAGACUAAGCAUUGAUGAGGGUGAUGAAGAUUCCUUCAUCACCGAGAAUCUUAGACCUUAAAUUAAGACCUGAAAGGCUGCCUGUCUAGGGUUGCCACAUUUAGCAAAUAAACAUCCAAGACAUCUACUGCAUUUGAAUUUCAGAACCAGUAGACCAGAAGCCACCGGGAUCAAAGACAUGAUGCUGAGGGGACCAGAGUCUUACCCCUUUCCUUCUACUCCAAACAUUAUGGGAACAAGGACCACAAGCGCCAUCUCUGCC
Cervus elaphus (red deer) is the source of this 415-nucleotide long non-coding RNA. RefSeq lists it as uncharacterized. The transcript has 3 exons. The record is from RefSeq and is a predicted model, not a curated record. Lineage: Eukaryota; Metazoa; Chordata; Mammalia; Artiodactyla; Cervidae.